UUACUAUUUGCAUUCAUGUUUAU
Molecule: small nuclear RNA, 23 nt
Filed under: Arabidopsis thaliana (thale cress)
Lineage: Eukaryota; Viridiplantae; Streptophyta; Magnoliopsida; Brassicales; Brassicaceae
Description: snRNA_11239
Source: RNAcentral